Molecule: long non-coding RNA, 1322 nt
Filed under: Marmota monax (woodchuck)
Lineage: Eukaryota; Metazoa; Chordata; Mammalia; Rodentia; Sciuridae
Source: RNAcentral
AACUGACUCACAUUUCUGGUAAGUUAUGGAGUUGAACUUGAAAUCGUUUCUUUUAUUUGCUUCUACAGUAUUUAAAAGGGACAGGCAAAAAGAUAAACUUCUGUUUGUGAUUAAAACAGGGAUUGUCCAGUUUAGCUUUGCCUUAUUCAGAACCUAACACAGUACCUGACAUGUGGUAAAUAACAAAUGUGAACAAAUAAACUGGGGAUUAUCUAGGGAUACACAGGGUCCAAGUUUAAAUUUUUAUUUUAAUUUUAAUACUGGGAAUUGAACCCAGGGACUCCUGUGCAUUUGUAUGCUAGGCAAAUGCUGUCCAAUUGAAGUAUAUGGUUGAGUUGAAACACUGUUACUCAAUGUUGUGGAGACUUCCAUUUAUAGUAGCAAGGCUUUGAGUUAUAGAUGAGCUCAGUUCUGUAAAAGUGGAUGAAGAGGGCUUUACAUCAGUCCAGGAGUUCUCAUUUUAAGUGGUUUGGUUCAUUUAUGACAGAAGUUAGCAAUGAGUUAUAAAUGUACCUAUAUAAUGUGAUAUUAAGGGGUGGGUAGUAGAAUGUGCUUGUUUAUAAUAAGUCUCAGUAAGAUUUCUUCUACUUAUCUUCUUUUGGAUACUGUUCUAUUGCUUUAAAUAACCUGUGGCAGAGUUCCUUCUCUUGCUAACUGUUGUAAUGCAUUUGGCUACUUAAUACUUGCUUUCUUUUCCCAAGAUCCCCAGAGACAACAGCAUUUUGGUGACACUCCAACCAUACUGAGGAUGUUGGAUUUCAUUGAAAGAUUUUCUAUAAAUAGUUUGUCCCAGGAUUGGGACAGGCUGAUUGGCCUCAUCCCCCUUACCCAAACCUGCCAUUGUUUUGAAGUCAUUUCAGAGCCUUCCAUAAUCUGGAUCUGUCUACCUUUUCACUUCAUCUCAAGUUAUCAGAACCUCCCUAACACCCCCGUCUUCUAUGAUACAAAUUAAGGGUGUAUCUUUCAUCCUACCAACAGGGAAAACUUUUUAGAAAGCCCACAUAUUUUCUCUUUUUAAGUAUAUGUUUUCACAUUUUCUUUAUUCAUUAAUCUGUUUUCUUGAGCAGAUACUUAAAGAGAGGCUAGUAGUAUAAAGCUGUCUAUGCCUAUUCCUUCCAGUUGCACCAAUGCAUUUUGUUUUUUAAUUGUUUCCAAAUUAUCUCCCUUCUCUUUGUACUGUGGCCCUGAAUUGUACCAACCAGUAGUUAACAUAAAGAAGCCCCUAAAGGAGUUUCGGAGUUUCUUUUUCCUUCCACUUUUUUUUUUUUUUUUUGGUACUGAGGAUUGAACCCAGCGGUGCUUAACCACUGAGCCACAUCCCC